Molecule: ribosomal RNA, 501 nt
Filed under: uncultured bacterium
Lineage: Bacteria
Description: partial 16S ribosomal RNA
Rfam family: Bacterial small subunit ribosomal RNA
Source: RNAcentral
AUUGAACGCUGGCGGCAUGCCUUACACAUGCAAGUCGAACGGCAGCACGGGUGCUUGCACCUGGUGGCGAGUGGCGAACAGGUGAGUAAUACAUCGGGACGUACCUUAUCGUGGGGGAUAACGCAGCGAAAGCUGUGCUAAUACCGCAUACGCCCUGAGGGGGAAAGCGGGGGAUCGAAAGACCUCGCGCGAUUAGAGCGGCCGAUGCCUGAUUAGCUUGUUGGUGGGGUAAAAGCCCACCAAGGCGACGAUCAGUAGCUGGUCUGAGAGGACGAUCAGCCACACUGGGACUGAGACACGGCCCAGACUCCUACGGGAGGCAGCAGUGGGGAAUUUUGGACAAUGGGGGCAACCCUGAUCCAGCAAUGCCGCGUGAGUGAAGAAGGCCUUCGGGUUGUAAAGCUCUUUUGUCAGGGAAGAAACACCGGCUCUAACACAGUCCGGGAAUGACGGUACCUGAAGAAUAAGCACCGGCUAACUACGUGCCAGCCGCCGCAGUAA